GGGGGAUAUUGCACAAUGGGGGAAACCCUGAUGCAGCGACGCCGCGUGGAGGAAGAAGGUUUUCGGAUUGUAAACUCCUGUCGUUAGGGACGAUAAUGACGGUACCUAACAAGAAAGCACCGGCUAACUACGUGCCAGCAGCCGCGGUAAAACGUAGGGUGCAAGCGUUGUCCGGAAUUACUGGGUGUAAAGGGAGCGCAGGCGGACCGGCAAGUUGGAAGUGAAAACUAUGGGCUCAACCCAUAAAUUGCUUUCAAAACUGCUGGCCUUGAGUAGUGCAGAGGUAGGUGGAAUUCCCGGUGUAGCGGUGGAAUGCGUAGAUAUCGGGAGGAACACCAGUGGCGAAGGCGACCUACUGGGCACCAACUGACGCUGAGGCUCGAAAGCAUGGGUAGCAAACAGGAUUAGAUACCCUGGUAGUCCAUGCCGUAAACGAUGAUUACUAGGUGUUGGAGGAUUGACCCCUUCAGUGCCGCAGUUAACACAAUAAGUAAUCCACCUGGGGAGUACGACCGCAAGGUUGAAACUCAAAGGAAUUGACGGGGGCCCGCACAAGCAGUGGAGUAUGUGGUUUAAUUCGAAGCAACGCGAAGAACCUUACCAGGUCUUGACAUCCGAUGCAUAGCUUAGAGAUAAGUGAAGUCCUUCGGGACAUCGAGACAGGUGGUGCAUGGUUGUCGUCAGCUCGUGUCGUGAGAUGUUGGGUUAAGUCCCGCAACGAGCGCAACCCUUAUUGCCAGUUACUACGAAAGAGGACUCUGGCGAGACUGCCGUUGACAAAACGGAGGAAGGUGGGGAUGACGUCAAAUCAUCAUGCCCUUUAUGACCUGGGCUACACACGUACUACAAUGGCGUUUAACAAAGAGAAGCAAGACCGCGAGGUGGAGCAAAACUCAAAAACAACGUCUCAGUUCAGAUUGCAGGCUGCAACUCGACUGCAUGAAGUCGGAAUUGCUAGUAAUCGCGGAUCAGCAUGCCGCGGUGAAUACGUUCCCG
RNAcentral lists this ribosomal RNA (996 nucleotides) under uncultured organism. RNAcentral describes it as "bacterial SSU rRNA". It matches the Rfam family "Bacterial small subunit ribosomal RNA", at positions 356 to 1376 of the family's 1533-position model. The record is from RNAcentral.